Small nucleolar RNA from Lathyrus oleraceus (garden pea), 107 nucleotides. The record is from RefSeq and is a predicted model, not a curated record. NCBI's taxonomy places the organism in Eukaryota, Viridiplantae, Streptophyta, Magnoliopsida, Fabales, Fabaceae.
AGGCCAUGAUAUGGGCAGAGUCUCAUCAUGUCCUUGUAUCUCUCCCAAGCCUUAAAGAGGGAUUCACCGCUGGUAUAUCUAAAACAGGUUAUCUGGUUUUUUAACAU